AUACCACGCUUCCAGGAAAAGCCACUAAGCUUCAGUUUGAAUUGAACCGUACCGCAAACCGACACAGGUGGGCAGGAUGAGAAUUCUAAGGCGCUUGAGAGAACUCAGGAGAAGGAACUCGGCAAAUUGAUACCGUAACUUCGGGAGAAGGUAUGCCCUCUAAGGUUAAGGACUUGCUCCGUAAGCCCUGGAGGGUCGCAGAGAAUAGGUGGCUGCGACUGUUUAUUAAAAACACAGCACUCUGCUAACACGAAAGUGGACGUAUAGGGUGUGACGCCUGCCCGGUGCUGGAAGGUUAAUUGAAGAUGUGAGAGCAUCGGAUCGAAGCCCCAGUAAACGGCGGCCGUAACUAUAACGGUCCUAAGGUAGCGAAAUUCCUUGUCGGGUAAGUUCCGACCCGCACGAAUGGCGUAACGAUGGCCACACUGUCUCCUCCUGAGACUCAGCGAAGUUGAAGUGGUUGUGAAGAUGCAAUCUACCCGCUGCUAGACGGAAAGACCCCGUGAACCUUUACUGUAGCUUUGCAUUGGACUUUGAAGUCACUUGUGUAGGAUAGGUGGGAGGCUUUGAAGCAGAGACGCCAGUCUCUGUGGAGCCGUCCUUGAAAUACCACCCUGGUGUCUUUGAGGUUCUAACCCAGACUCGUCAUCCGGGUCGGGGACCGUGCAUGGUAGGCAGUUUGACUGGGGCGGUCUCCUCCCAAAGCGUAACGGAGGAGUUCGAAGGUUACCUAGGUCCGGUCGGAAAUCGGACUGAUAGUGCAAUGGCAAAAGGUAGCUUAACUGCGAGACCGACAAGUCGAGCAGGUGCGAAAGCAGGACAUAGUGAUCCGGUGGUUCUGUAUGGAAGGGCCAUCGCUCAACGGAUAAAAGGUACUCCGGGGAUAACAGGCUGAUUCCGCCCAAGAGUUCAUAUCGACGGCGGAGUUUGGCACCUCGAUGUCGGCUCAUCACAUCCUGGGGCUGUAGUCGGUCCCAAGGGUAUGGCUGUUCGCCAUUUAAAGUGGUACGUGAGCUGGGUUUAAAACGUCGUGAGACAGUUUGGUCCCUAUCUGCAGUGGGCGUUGGAAGUUUGACGGGGGCUGCUCCUAGUACGAGAGGACCGGAGUGGACGAACCUCUGGUGUACCGGUUGUAACGCCAGUUGCAUAGCCGGGUAGCUAAGUUCGGAAGAGAUAAGCGCUGAAAGCAUCUAAGCGCGAAACUCGCCUGAAGAUGAGACUUCCCUUGCGGUUUAACCGCACUAAAGAGUCGUUCGAGACCAGGACGUUGAUA
This 1273-nucleotide ribosomal RNA is filed under the name Neisseria meningitidis. Its description in RNAcentral is "bacterial LSU rRNA". It matches the Rfam family "Bacterial large subunit ribosomal RNA", at positions 1597 to 2858 of the family's 2925-position model. The record is from RNAcentral. Lineage: Bacteria; Pseudomonadati; Pseudomonadota; Betaproteobacteria; Neisseriales; Neisseriaceae.